CUUCCAAAGUGCUGGGAUUACGUGCAUGAGCCCCUGCACCUGAUGGAGUCUCAUUCUGUCGCUCAAGCUGAAGGGCAGUGCCGUGAUCUUGACCCACUGCAACCUCCGCCUCCAAGGUUCAAGCAAUUCUAGUGCCUCAGCAUUCCAAGUAGCUGAGAUUACAGGUGUGCACCACCAAACCCGGCUAAUUUUUGUAUUUUUAGUAGAGGCAGGCUUUCACCAUGUUGACCAGGCUGAUUAGUUUGUAUAUUUCUUUCUUCCUUUCCUUUUUUAUUUCUAGAAGCAUGUUAAUUUUAAAAUAUAAAUUAUGACAUGUAAAAGCC
Long non-coding RNA from Homo sapiens (human), 323 nucleotides. RefSeq lists it as uncharacterized. The record is from RefSeq and is a predicted model, not a curated record. Lineage: Eukaryota; Metazoa; Chordata; Mammalia; Primates; Hominidae. The transcript is spliced from 2 exons.